GGCCGGAUCUUGCUAGUGCCAACAAGAAGAUUAAGGAAUUAGAGCGCCGCUAAGUUAUCUAGAUUAGACCUUGAGGCAAUGCAUCUUAGUCAUUUAUCUUUAAAUUUGGUUUAGGUUUACUAUUAUUAUCAGUUUGCUACUAUCGUCAGUUUACUACUAGUCUUUUGUAAUAAAUGCCUCAAGAUUAAUAAAGAGUAUUAUUAUUAUUAUUAUUAUGUCUUGUGUGUCUCUACUUUAUUUUUGUGCAAGAAAGCAGAAAACAAGUAUGGGGGAGAUCCCUCAACAUGCCAAACACACUCUGACUACAUCACUCCACGAUUCAGGUACACACUCUGCACACUUUACUUUACACAUACAUAUAUUUUAGAUUAUGCAGAAUACCGUUUCCGACAUGAUAAAUUAAAAAGAUUAAAAUAUUUCUAAUCAUGAUUAAUCUCACUCUGUUAUAUUUCCUGAAACUUGCAAUUAUUAUAAAAUCAUUUUAAAACCCUGUGUUACUUAAGUCAAUAUGGAAUGUGAGAUGGUACAAUAUGAGUUUCUUAUUCUUGAUAUCAUUGUUGCUUGGAGAAUUUAUUUCAAAAAUCUUUAAAAUUCUAGCUACCAUCCUCAGUGUUUUAUAUGCCUGAUAAAAACUGAAAAUAUUAAUUAUGAUUAUAAAAGCUAUCUACUCUGUAUUGAGUUUGUUCAAAAUGAGUUAGACCCUUGUUGAGAGAUUGAUCAUGCUCCUAAGAUCAAGACAUUUAUUCAGAAAGAUUCACUCUUCCGAAGUAUUAUUGCAUUAGAGGCAUGGGCUAUGCAAAAAUAGAAAUAUUUCGAGGAAAUAAAAAGGAGCAAGUGCUCGACAACCUCGCAGAAAAAUGGACAAGUGUCCAACAGUAGAAUUUGGGAUACCUCGGUAUCCACUUAAAAAAAAGAGAAAAGAGAAAAAAGAGAAAAUGAUAGCCCAUGGUCCCUCUAAUAAGCAAUAUGCCAGCAAGAGUUGACAAAGAUUUUAAUUUCCAAAGUCUUUGAUCUAAGAGUAUGACAUUCCCCUCCUCGGAUCCCGUUUUGAUCAGGCAAUAAAUGCAAAGUAAGUAUGCUUGAGAAUUUUUGCAAAUUAAAACAACCUCAGUGAGAUAUAUAAAAGAUAAUGAGUGAUCUGAGAAGAACCUAUGAGGAUAAAAAGGUAUGCUAACUUUCUUUCAAAAAUAUACAGAAGCUCCAAGUGACAGGAUUGAGAAGAAAGGAUCUUUACUCUUAACCAUAUACUUCCUUGACUAUGGUACACAGUGGAUUUUUAACACCCUGCAAUUAUAAAAAGAAUGUUUUAAAUGUUUACCCCAAAUAUUGUUCUUAACCAUCCUUUUCUCGAGGACGAGUAAAAGCCUAAGUAUGGGGGUAUUUGUCGACGGUUCUUAAGUAUCAAUUUUAAUUAUCAAAUAAACAAGAGAAAGGACCAAUAUGCAAACAACACCUAGAAUUAGGGUUUGAUCUGACAGAAUUCCACGAGUUUUGUUGUUUAUCUCUUUCUGCAGGGGGUUAUCAGGAAAUAAGGAAGAAAGGCCCACAUGUCGGGAUUACAUAGAGAUAUCAACACACCGCACGAUUUUCUACCAUCUAGAAGAC
RNAcentral lists this long non-coding RNA (1605 nucleotides) under Sorghum bicolor (sorghum). Its description in RNAcentral is "long non-coding RNA (SBIC_LNC016266)". The record is from RNAcentral. Lineage: Eukaryota; Viridiplantae; Streptophyta; Magnoliopsida; Poales; Poaceae.